GCCCAAGCAUUGAGGCAGUCAAAGUAGGCAAAUCCGCUUUGAUAAUGCUGGGAUGUGAUGGGGAGCGAAAUUUAGUAGCGAAGUAGCUGAUUUCACACUGUCAAGAAAAGUCUCUAUCGAGGUUAAAGGUACCCGUACCGCAAACCGACACAGGUGGGUGAGGAGAGUAUCCUAAGGCCAGCGAGAGAACUGUUGUUAAGGAACUCGGCAAAAUGACCCCGUAACUUAGGGAUAAGGGGUGCCACCAUCAGGUGGCCGCAGAGAAUAGGCCCAAGCGACUGUUUACCAAAAACAUAGGUUUCUGCUAAGUCGCAAGACGAUGUAUAGGAGCUGACGCCUGCCCGGUGCUGGAAGGUUAAGGGGAUCUGUUAGAGCAAUCGAAGCAGUGAACUUAAGCCCCAGUAAACGGCGGCCGUAACUAUAACGGUCCUAAGGUAGCGAAAUUCCUUGUCGGGUAAGUUCCGACCCGCACGAAAGGCGUAACGAUUUGGGCACUGUCUCAACAACAGACUCGGUGAAAUUGUAAUUCCGGUGAAGAUGCCGGAUACCUGCGACAGGACGGAAAGACCCCAUGGAGCUUUACUGUAGCUUGACAUUGGGUCUUGGUACUACAUGUACAGGAUAGGUGGGAGGCUUUGAAACCAGGACGCCAGUUUUGGCGGAGCCAUCCUUGGGAUACCACCCUUGUAGUACUGGGACUCUAACCAUAGGCCAUGAAUCUGGUCUUGGGACACUGUCAGGUGGGCAGUUUGACUGGGGCGGUCGCCUCCCAAAAGGUAACGGAGGCGCUCAAAGGUUCUCUCAGUACGGUCGGAAAUCGUACGUAGAGUGUAAAGGCAAAAGAGAGCUUGAUUGCAAGACAUACAGGUCGAGCAAGGAUGAAAAUCGGACUUAGUGAUCCGGUGGUUCUGCGUGGAAGGGCCAUCGCUCAACGGAUAAAAGCUACCCUGGGGAUAACAGGCUUAUCUCCCCCAAGAGUCCACAUCGACGGGGAGGUUUGGCACCUCGAUGUCGGCUCAUCACAUCCUGGGGCUGUAGUAGGUCCCAAGGGUUGGGCUGUUCGCCCAUUAAAGUGGUACGCGAGCUGGGUUCAGAACGUCGUGAGACAGUUCGGUCCCUAUCCGUCGCAGGCGUAGGAAAUUUGAGAAGACCUGUCCUUAG
RNAcentral lists this ribosomal RNA (1161 nucleotides) under Clostridioides difficile. RNAcentral's name for it is "partial 23S ribosomal RNA". It matches the Rfam family "Bacterial large subunit ribosomal RNA", at positions 1510 to 2681 of the family's 2925-position model. Lineage: Bacteria; Bacillati; Bacillota; Clostridia; Peptostreptococcales; Peptostreptococcaceae. The record is from RNAcentral.